AUACGUAGGGGGCGAGCGUUGUCCGGAAUGAUUGGGCGUAAAGGGCGCGUAGGCGGCCCGGUAAGUCUGGAGUGAAAGUCCUGUUUUUAAGAUGGGAAUUGCUUUGGAUACUGUCGGGCUUGAGUGCAGGAGAGGUAAGUGGAAUUCCCAGUGUAGCGGUGAAAUGCGUAGAGAUUGGGAGGAACACCAGUGGCGAAGGCGACUUACUGGACUGUAACUGACGCUGAGGCGCGAAAGUGUGGGGAGCAAACAGGAUUAGAUACCCUGGUAGUCCACACUGUAAACGAUGAGUACUAGGUGUGGGGGGACUGACCCCUUCCGUGCCGGAGUAAACACAAUAAGUAUUCCACCUGGGGGGUACGACCGCAAGGUUGAAACUCAAAGGAAUUGACGGGG
Molecule: ribosomal RNA, 396 nt
Filed under: uncultured bacterium
Lineage: Bacteria
Description: partial 16S ribosomal RNA
Rfam family: Bacterial small subunit ribosomal RNA
Source: RNAcentral